GGUAAAUGACGUCGGGUCCAGGGCGCCUUGAAAGCGCCUGGUGGGGAAUCGUAAAUCCCCUUUACCA
RNAcentral lists this transfer RNA (67 nucleotides) under Nipponacmea fuscoviridis. RNAcentral describes it as "tRNA-Ser". Lineage: Eukaryota; Metazoa; Mollusca; Gastropoda; Lottiidae. The record is from RNAcentral.